UCCAUGGUAUAUAAUAUUAGAACUAAUUAGAAAUUUAAAUCCUCUGCUUUGUAUCAGUGCAAGUAUACUUCAUGGUAAAAGAUUGUAGUUGAAUAUAUUCAAUGAAUAGUUAUGUUGCUUUGAAAAAUGUGAGUAUUCGCUGGGACCUUACUAUUGACUUUCAAAAUAGUACCAUUUAUAAAAACUGUUUUAAAACAAUUAUUUUAAUUCAUAUGGUUAUAUUAUUAAAAUGAUAUACCUGAUUUCUAUGUCUCAUUAAAAACCUCUGAAAAAUAUUAUUUUGGGAGUGGUUUGUUAGAUUUUGUAAGUUAAAUAGUUCACUGAGUGUUAUGUUAGCAGUUGCUACUUUUUUCUGCCUCAGUAUUGCAUCCAUUCGACCUGAAUCAAAAUGAUGCUUCCUGUGGUUAAAGACUAUGUUUUAUACCUUUCAAUAGCUAUUUUCAAGUAUUAUUGAAAUACAAGAAAACAUAAAUGUUUUCCUAAUUGCU
Molecule: long non-coding RNA, 488 nt
Filed under: Bos taurus (domestic cattle)
Lineage: Eukaryota; Metazoa; Chordata; Mammalia; Artiodactyla; Bovidae
Description: long non-coding RNA NONBTAT022366
Source: RNAcentral